GCACAAUGGGCGCAAGCCUGAUGCAGCCAUGCCGCGUGUGUGAAGAAGGCCUUCGGGUUGUAAAGCACUUUCAGUCGUGAGGAAGGUAGUGUAGUUAAUAGCUGCAUUAUUUGACGUUAGCGACAGAAGAAGCACCGGCUAACUCCGUGCCAGCAGCCGCGGUAAUACGGAGGGUGCGAGCGUUAAUCGGAAUUACUGGGCGUAAAGCGCAUGCAGGUGGUUUGUUAAGUCAGAUGUGAAAGCCCGGGGCUCAACCUCGGAAUUGCAUUUGAAACUGGCAGACUAGAGUACUGUAGAGGGGGGUAGAAUUUCAGGUGUAGCGGUGAAAUGCGUAGAGAUCUGAAGGAAUACCGGUGGCGAAGGCGGCCCCCUGGACAGAUACUGACACUCAGAUGCGAAAGCGUGGGGAGCAAACAGGAUUAGAUACCCUGGUAGUCCACGCCGUAAACGAUGUCUACUUGGAGGUUGUGGCCUUGAGCCGUGGCUUUCGGAGCUAACGCGUUAAGUAGACCGCCUGGGGAGUACGGUCGCAAGAUUAAAACUCAAAUGAAUUGACGGGGGCCCGCACAAGCGGUGGAGCAUGUGGUUUAAUUCGAUGCAACGCGAAGAACCUUACCUACUCUUGACAUCCAGAGAACUUUCCAGAGAUGGAUUGGUGCCUUCGGGAACUCUGAGACAGGUGCUGCAUGGCUGUCGUCAGCUCGUG
This 706-nucleotide ribosomal RNA is filed under the name bacterium B_D75_46. Its description in RNAcentral is "bacterial SSU rRNA". It matches the Rfam family "Bacterial small subunit ribosomal RNA", at positions 366 to 1064 of the family's 1533-position model. The record is from RNAcentral.